GGCGAACGCUGGCGGCGUGCUUAACACAUGCAAGUCGAACGGAAAGGCCCUGCUUUUGGGGGGUGCUCGAGUGGCGAACGGGUGAGUAACACGUGAGUAACCUGCCCUUGACUUUGGGAUAACUUCAGGAAACUGGGGCUAAUACCGGAUAGGAGCUCCUGCUGCAUGGUGGGGGUUGGAAAGUUUCGGCGGUUGGGGAUGGACUCGCGGCUUAUCAGCUUGUUGGUGGGGUAGUGGCUUACCAAGGCUUUGACGGGUAGCCGGCCUGAGAGGGUGACCGGCCACAUUGGGACUGAGAUACGGCCCAGACUCCUACGGGAGGCAGCAGUGGGGAAUAUUGCACAAUGGGCGGAAGCCUGAUGCAGCAACGCCGCGUGCGGGAUGACGGCCUUCGGGUUGUAAACCGCUUUCGCCUGUGACGAAGCGUGAGUGACGGUAAUGGGUAAAGAAGCACCGGCUAACUACGUG
This 468-nucleotide ribosomal RNA is filed under the name uncultured bacterium. RNAcentral's name for it is "partial 16S ribosomal RNA". It matches the Rfam family "Bacterial small subunit ribosomal RNA", at positions 28 to 507 of the family's 1533-position model. The record is from RNAcentral.